UAUCACUUACAGAUGGGCCCGCGGCGCAUUAGCUAGUUGGUGAGGUAACGGCUCACCAAGGCGACGAUGCGUAGCCGACCUGAGAGGGUGAUCGGCCACACUGGGACUGAGACACGGCCCAGACUCCUACGGGAGGCAGCAGUAGGGAAUCUUCCGCAAUGGACGAAAGUCUGACGGAGCAACGCCGCGUGAACGAUGAAGGUCUUCGGAUCGUAAAGUUCUGUUGUUAGGGAAGAACAAGUACCGUGCGAAUAGAGCGGUACCUUGACGGUACCUAACGAGGAAGCCCCGGCUAACUACGUGCCAGCAGCCGCGGUAAUACGUAGGGGGCAAGCGUUGUCCGGAAUUAUUGGGCGUAAAGCGCGCGCAGGCGGUUCCUUAAGUCUGAUGUGAAAGCCCUCGGCUCAACCGUGGAGGGUCAUUGGAAACUGGGGAACUUGAGGACAGAAGAGGAGAGUGGAAUUCCACGUGUAGCGGUGAAAUGCGUAGAUAUGUGGAGGAACACCAGUGGCGAAGGCGACUCUCUGGUCUGUUUCUGACGCUGAGGUGCGAAAGCGUGGGUAGCAAACAGGAUUAGAUACCCUGGUAGUCCACGCCGUAAACGAUGAGUGCUAGGUGUUAGGGGGCUUCCACCCCUUAGUGCUGAAGUUAACGCAUUAAGCACUCCGCCUGGGGAGUACGGCCGCAAGGCUGAAACUCAAAGGAA
RNAcentral lists this ribosomal RNA (706 nucleotides) under Halobacillus sp. RNAcentral describes it as "bacterial SSU rRNA". It matches the Rfam family "Bacterial small subunit ribosomal RNA", at positions 213 to 909 of the family's 1533-position model. The record is from RNAcentral. Lineage: Bacteria; Bacillati; Bacillota; Bacilli; Caryophanales; Bacillaceae.